RNAcentral lists this ribosomal RNA (640 nucleotides) under Escherichia coli. RNAcentral describes it as "partial 23S ribosomal RNA". It matches the Rfam family "Bacterial large subunit ribosomal RNA", at positions 2159 to 2798 of the family's 2925-position model. The record is from RNAcentral. Lineage: Bacteria; Pseudomonadati; Pseudomonadota; Gammaproteobacteria; Enterobacterales; Enterobacteriaceae.
GAAGUGUGGACGCCAGUCUGCAUGGAGCCGACCUUGAAAUACCACCCUUUAAUGUUUGAUGUUCUAACGUGGACCCGUGAUCCGGGUUGCGGACAGUGUCUGGUGGGUAGUUUGACUGGGGCGGUCUCCUCCUAAAGAGUAACGGAGGAGCACGAAGGUUGGCUAAUCCUGGUCGGACAUCAGGAGGUUAGUGCAAUGGCAUAAGCCAGCUUGACUGCGAGCGUGACGGCGCGAGCAGGUGCGAAAGCAGGUCAUAGUGAUCCGGUGGUUCUGAAUGGAAGGGCCAUCGCUCAACGGAUAAAAGGUACUCCGGGGAUAACAGGCUGAUACCGCCCAAGAGUUCAUAUCGACGGCGGUGUUUGGCACCUCGAUGUCGGCUCAUCACAUCCUGGGGCUGAAGUAGGUCCCAAGGGUAUGGCUGUUCGCCAUUUAAAGUGGUACGCGAGCUGGGUUUAGAACGUCGUGAGACAGUUCGGUCCCUAUCUGCCGUGGGCGCUGGAGAACUGAGGGGGGCUGCUCCUAGUACGAGAGGACCGGAGUGGACGCAUCACUGGUGUUCGGGUUGUCAUGCCAAUGGCACUGCCCGGUAGCUAAAUGCGGAAGAGAUAAGUGCUGAAAGCAUCUAAGCACGAAACUUGCC